RNAcentral lists this ribosomal RNA (600 nucleotides) under uncultured archaeon. RNAcentral describes it as "bacterial SSU rRNA". It matches the Rfam family "Archaeal small subunit ribosomal RNA", at positions 269 to 869 of the family's 1478-position model. The record is from RNAcentral.
ACGGGCUGUGGGAGCAGGAGCCCGGAGAUGGAUUCUGAGACAUGAAUCCAGGCCCUACGGGGUGCAGCAGGCGCGAAAACUUUACAAUGCGGGAAACCGUGAUAAGGGAACCUCGAGUGCUGGCGCAUAGCGUCGGCUGUCCAGAUGCCUAAAAAGCAUCUGAUAGCAAGGGCCGGGCAAGACCGGUGCCAGCCGCCGCGGUAACACCGGCGGCUCGAGUGGUGGCCACGUUUAUUGGGUCUAAAGCGUCCGUAGCCGGCUUGGCAAGUCCCCUGGGAAAUCUGGCGGCUUAACCGUCAGGCGUCCAGAGGAUACUGCCAGGCUUGGGACCGGGAGAGGUGAGAGGUACCUCAGGGGUAGGGGUGAAAUCUUGUGAUCCCUGAGGGACCACCAGUGGCGAAGGCGUCUCACUAGAACGGGUCCGACGGUCAGGGACGAAAGCUGGGGGCACGAACCGGAUUAGAUACCCGGGUAGUCCCAGCCGUAAACGAUGCUCGCUAGGUGUCAGGCAUGGCAUGACUGUGCCUGGUGCCGAAGGGAAGCCGUGAAGCGAGCCACCUGGGAAGUACGGCCGCAAGGCUGAAACUUAAAGGAAUUGGC